Molecule: long non-coding RNA, 11279 nt
Organism: Ictalurus punctatus (channel catfish)
Lineage: Eukaryota; Metazoa; Chordata; Actinopteri; Siluriformes; Ictaluridae
Exons: 4
Source: RefSeq, a predicted model, not a curated record
UUUCAAGUGUGAUUUUGAGAGCGUUCUGGUUUUGCUGAGGUUGUGGUUUUGAAAAUAGAAAGUUGCACUCGUCCUAAUCUGUCGUUUAUUGCAUAAAUUCCCACCUCUUGUGGGGAAUUUAAGGUGAAUCGGCACAGAUGGGGUUCGAACCCACAAUCCAUGAGCCACGGCCAUACCGUAUGUCGCUUAACAAUUUAGGACUCGGAUCUUGUUGAAGAGAUCAUGGGCUUAAAAGCACACUCAUAAAUCCACUCGUAGUUCCACAGUUUUUCAAGAUGGAAGCUCGUUGUACCACCAACAGCAGGCCUACAUAUUCCUAACGAGACCUUUUGACUAAUUAUACAUUUUGUUAUUGUCAUCACACCAACUGGUCCAAAUUCCAUCUCGGGCGUAUUUAGGGACAGAACAGUGAUUUAGUGCUUGUUGAGCAAUAUUUAAAGGUCUACCUAAAAGGGUUCUACUUGGAGUCCAUUUCUGAUAGAGGAAAGAUUUUGAAGAUGUUACGGGUUCCCCUUCAGACAGCAAGGAACCCAUAAGGGUACUACAUUUUCAAAGACCGGCACAGCUCCCUUUUGGGUUGUCGUAGUUGAAAAUGUACGUGGUUCUAAUUGAGACGCCGAUGAGUGCAAUACUCGUGCUUUAAGCAUACGUUCGACAGUUUAAGCAGGACGUUAGCUUUUGUGAUGAGGUUCUCGUGUUAGCGCACACUGCUUUUUUAACUGCAAAGAGUGUUAGCAUUGUCCUCAGAAGAGGUGUUGUGGACAGAUCCAUGAGGUCUCUUGCAAACCAAAACAUACUUUUUUGGGAUAGCGGUUGUUUAUCUACUACCUAGUAAGUUCUGAGCAUAUGCAUUUGAACAACUGGACAACAUAUAAUAUUGCUGAUUAUAAUCGGGAUCGUGAUGAGUCAUGAUGAGGCUUUAUUUCUUUGUUCUCAUGUAUUAAGUUAGAAGUUGACCUGAUUGGAUUUGGGGAAAAGGUCCACAGUUCUGCUGCACUGAGCAAACACUCCAGCUUAAUGAUAAGUGCCAUGGUAACAUUCCCUGAUGACAAAAAUGGACACCCUCAGCCUUGUUAUAUUACCUGUGACCUAUAAUAAUAACUCCAACAUCAACGCUAUCCUCUAUCCCCAACCUCUACCACUAACCCCAACUUCUACCACUAACCCCAACCUCUAACAUUAACCCCUAAACACUAACCCGUAACCCUGACCCCAAACUCUAACAGUAUUAAGUAAGAAGCUGACCCGAUCGGAUUUGAUGGAAAAGAUCCACAGUCCUGCUGCACCAAGCAAACAAACACUACAGCUUAAUGAUAAGUCCUCAGGUAAGUGUCAUGGUAACACCUCUGUUUUUGUUGAUGACAAAAAUGGAAGCCCUCAGCCUUUUCAUGUUACCUGUGUAUGGAAAAUUAGCUUCUCCUUUUGUUAGCUUGAGCUCAAAACGGGGGAAAUGUGCAUGCAAACGUAAUAUUUCAACAGCUGAUCAACUAUUCGUCCACCGUUGAGUUGAACUUAAUGUAUCUUAUUAAGUCUGGCUAGGAUAUUAAUCCCAUGACCACUGGUAAUAAUAUCCUGAUGUUAAACAUGGAUUAUGAGCACAGUAACAAGAUCGGACAACUUAAGACAAUAAAUCAUAAAUAGAGACAAGAGACACUUGGUAUUAAAACCAAACGGCAACUUAACAGCAAGUAGCGAUAUAAUUUAAUUAAAAAAUAAAUAAAUAAAUAAACAUUACAGAAGCUUCAAUUUGAAAGAAAAUACUUGAAAAUACACUUAACUUGCAGUUUAAAACAAACAAAAACGGCCCACAGGGUUAGUGUUGCCACUAAAGAGGUUAUAAAAAGCUAUUUCAGAACAGUACACAAACAUUAAUGUUUCCAUUAAGAGUCGUUAAUGUGAUUCCUACCUCUAUAUUGCUCUUUUGCUCUGCUCCUCUUCUUCGCACCGCUUCCUGCCUUGUGCACCUGAUCAUUUUCUUCAUUCACUCAUUUAUUCUAAAGCAGUUGAAGGUGAAUGCGAACGGCAAAACGAAUCAUAACUGCACUAUCAUGUGCACCAUAACGGCGUUAUGGUGAUGAUGGCGUAUUAUUACCUCGUCAUGAUGCAGGCAGGCAGUGUUUAAAUUACUCCAGCAUAUAUUGUCAACUAUUACAGGGUUGUUGUUUUUUUUUCCGUUGACGUCCAUUUUGUUAUCGUAAACAUAUUGAAUUCAUAAGGACUAACAGGGUGUUAAUUGGUAUAAAUAAUUAAUGUAUGGGUGGAGUGGCACACAGUGGUCAUGAGAGGGUGCACUUCCGAUAAAAUAAAUCUCUGCAUGUGGUGCCCCGUGUCAUUUUGUGCCUUAGGCCACCGCCUAUGUCGCCUCUGCCAUGGGCCGGCCCUGCUCCAACCUCUAACACUAGCCUCUAACACUAUCCCCAACCUCUAACACUAGCCUCUAACACUAACCUCUAACACUAUCCCCAACCUCUAACACUAACCUCUAACACUAUCCCCAACCUCUAAACACUAACCUCUAACACUAACCUCUAACACUAUCCCCAACCUCUAACACUAACCUCUAACACUAACCUCUAACACUAACCCCAACCUCUAACACUAACCUCUAACACUAUCCCCAACCUCUAACACUAACCUCUAACACUAUCCCCAACCUCUAACACUAACCUCUAACACUAUCCCCAACCUCUAACACUAACCUCUAACACUAUCCCCAACCUCUAACACUAUCCCCAACCUCUAAACACUAACCUCUAACACUAACCUCUAACACUAUCCCCAACCUCUAACACUAUCCCCAACCUCUAACACUAACCUCUAACACUAUCCCCAACCUCUAACACUAACCUCUAACACUAUCCCCAACCUCUAACACUAACCUCUAACACUAUCCCCAACCUCUAAACACUAACCUCUAAACACUAACCUCUAACACUAUCCCCAACCUCUAACACUAACCUCUAACACUAACCCCUACCUUUAACAUUAACCUCUAAAUCCUAACACUAACCUCUAACACUAACCCCUACCUUUAACAUUAACCUCUAAAUCCUAACACUAACCUCUAACACUAACCCCUACCUUUAACAUUAACCUCUAAAUCCUAACACUAACCUCUAACACUAAUCACUCCUAAAUUUUAGCCCUUUUCGGCGGGCAGAGCCAUAAAAGCCAAAAAACCAGUAAUGUUUUUUCUUUAAAGAUCCAGAGAAAGGGAUUUUUUGACAUUUUUAUACGUGUCUUCUUCUUAUUAUAGUUAUUAUCUUUACUAUCAUUGCAUAAUUAUCAAAAGUGGUAACUUAAUAAAGGCCAUUUCACAUUUUGCGUUUUCGGCCUACCAUUUAACCAACUAUAAUAGUCUCAUCGAAUGGUAAAUCAAUACAAGAUGCAGUACGUAAGUAAGAGUAAACCGAACAGUACUUCCCGAUAAUACGACUUCCAAAUAUGCAAAUUCAUCUGUCCGUUCGGACUGGAAAGAACAAUACCUAUCGUCUUUUCUUCCUUUCAUCCAUUCACCUUUGUUAAAAAACAGGGGGGGGGGGGGGGACUGGCUAUAUAGUUUUCAACUGAUUUAUGAAUCAGACCGGGUAAUCACCGCUCUGCUCCGCAUUGUCCAAUCAGAUUUGAGCUUGUUGUGCCACAUCGCGAUUGCCUGGUGUCUGCAUAACAAACUGACAUUGAUUACGAAUUAUGUAUUAUUUUAAAAUAUGUCACGUGUAGAGUCUUUUCCCCCACCGUUGAGCCACAGGCGAUCACUGAUUAAGAGCCGUAGGUUCCCCUGCCCUAAACCCUAACCUAUAACCCCUACCCUCUAACCCUUAAACCUCACAGACAUUCUCCUUUACUCUCAGUCACUCAGGAUUUCCACUUACAGCUACAUAUUAUAACGAUUUAAAAAGCCCAGCUGACUGCUUAUCCAUAUAUCUGCAUGAUUAAAUCUUUCAUAGGCACGAUCUUGGUUUGACCACAAAUUUAUUACAAGCAAGUGCCACUGAAUGUUUUCUGUAAAUUCAAUGUCUGACCGCUGACUGAGAAACUGGCAUAAGCGUAUUUUCUCAUGUGCAACAAGCGGUUAUGAAUCGUCUGCUGGUUUCGGCAUCCGAUUGGGGUAACCGAACUGCGCCAGGCUUUAUAGAGCCAUCUGAAAGGUUUUAUUGUCAGGAACUAAUAUAAUAUAAUAGCUCAAUCUGAUUUGAUUCCGUUUAAUUUCUGACUGCUGAGCCUUCUUUUCCCUGUACAGGCAAACAGUCUGAGUGAUGCUCAUGCAGCAAUUAAAACACAUUUCAGAGGGCCUUUUAAAAUUCAAACUUGAAAUGAUUAUCCUGACAGAACAAGACAACUUCAAGCAAUUUGUAAAAACAAAUGCCUAUAAAUAGACCUAAUAAUCAUGUUUAAUUAUAGUACUGUAAUCAGAAAUAUGACAUAAAUUUGACGAUAUUUUUUCUCUUUUGCAGAAAGCUACUCAUGUCCAAGUUUUUUUUUUUUUCCCUCCUAAUUCUGGAUGUACUUUUCCACUUCAACAUUUCCUCAAGCUAUAGUCAUGAGCUGCAUGCCGAGAGCAUGAAACCUGAUGACGAGGAAACAGCGGAUAACGUCUAUCCAGCUACCGCUUAUCCAACACAGGGUCACAGGGAGCCUGGAGCCUGUCCCAGGGGACUCGGGGCACAAGGUGGGGGACACCCUGGACGGGGUAACAACCCGUAGCAGGGCACAAUCGCACACAUACACCCAUUCACACACUACGGACAAUUUAGAGAUGCCGAUCAGCACACGAUGCAUGUCUUUGGACUGGGGAGGAAACCGAAGCACGGGGAGAACAUGCAAACUCUGAGCACCCAGGGCAGAGGCGGGAUUCGCACCCCCAACCCCGGAGGUGCGAGGGAAACGUGCUAGCCACUAAGCUACUCCCAGUAGAAGCAGUUAUGAACGAAUCUCUGACCCCUGUGUUUCUGGUUGCUAGUUCUAUCAAGUGAAACGUUUUAGACCUCAAAGUCAUGUCAAGAGCUUAAAAUUCAGAGUCCUGCGUUAAAUAAUUAUGCGGUCAGCAAAACAACCCGUCCGUUUGGGGCUCUUCUACCUAAAAGUUAAAAAACACAGGCUGAUGAGUUCAUUCAGCACCUAAUAGACGCUAAUAGAUUGAUUUAUCACCUGUAGUGUGAGUUAACGAAGCCUGAAAGUCACUUCAAGAACAGAAAUGGUCUUUUUGUUUGUUUGUUUGUUUGUUUGUUUGUUUGUUUGUUUUUUAAAACGAAUGAGAAAGCUUACUGAAAAAAAAAUAUCUCUGUAAAAUAAUCAGAAAGUUGUGAUGCCGGGAUCAUAUUAGAUGUUUACGGCAUGCUCAUACGGCAAGCUCGACACCGAUUAAACAGCGCUUUUAAGAAGGUCUUCAUUCACGUGUGCAGAAUGGAGACGUGCUCAUGUCUACGCUAAUUUGUUUUAGGUCCAUUAUCCGGGGGGUUUCUGCGUCUCAUCUUCAUUUGUCUUAGUGAUAAUAUUCCUAACGCUGCUCAACUUUCAGUUUUACGUUUCCAGGAAUCACUUUGAGAUAAAACUCCAUUGCAGACAUCAACAACAAAUAACCCACACAAAUCUGAUAACGUCGUUACUGUUCCUCCGCUGACAUUUCACUACACAUGUUUCAUGCAGUUGAUCUUUAUAACUCAUCACUCGCACGCCCACUAUCCGUACACAACUUACCCGAUUCCGCACUUGAAUUAUGGUGAAGUAGGGCGAAAAUAUUUAUCAGAGUACAAAUAAAUCUGAUUAUAUUGUAUUAAUGACAUAUUUCCUUUGCAGCAAUUAUGACCAAUUUAGGUUAUUUUGUUGAUAUUAUACCACAGAUACGGGAAAGUCUUCAGGACAGAGGCGUUUAUGCUUUGUCGUUUCUCUGCAAUAUGACAUGCUAUGGGGUUCUUUUUGUCUUAUCGACUUCUAGAGAGAGGCAAAAGUGCCCUACGAUGGUUUGGCAGCCUGUCCAGGGUGGACCCCGCCUUGUGCCCAAUGCUCCCUGGGAUAGGCUCCAGGUUCCCUGCGACCCUGAAAAGGAUAAGCGGUAUAGAAGAUGGAUAUUAAGAUCUGGGGAAUGCGGAGGCCGAGUCAACACCUUGAACUCUUUGUCAUGUUCCUCAGACCGUUCCUGAACUAUUUCUACAGUGUGUCUGGGAGCGUUAUCCUGCUGGAAGAGCCCACUGAUAUUAGGGGAUACCGCUGCCAUGGAGGUGUGAACUUGGUCUACGACAAUGUUUUGGUAGGUGGGACGUGUCAAAGUAACAUCCACAUGAACGGCAGGACCCGAGGUUUCCCAGUAGAACAUUACCCAGUGCAUCACACUUCCUCCACCGACUCGCCUUCUUCACAUAGUGCAUCCUGGUGCCAUCUCUUACCCAGAGAAGACUACAUUACUUCGAAGCGAAGAACAGAGAACGGUGACGCUCUAAAGAUCUCAUUCUGUUGGCGCAAUGACAACGAUGUUUCUGUUACAUCACAACGAGCGCAGACCUGUCCAAUCUUCCACAUGCCUCGUUCAGCUGAACAGAGUGACCUUGAGGCUUUUCUCAAAUUGCUCGAGCCGUGUCAAUCCGGAUGGAUGCUGUCGAUGGUGAGCAGCAAUUUUCAAGUCUUGCUACGGAUUCUCAAUCAGACUGAGGUCUGGGCUUUGACAGGGCUGUUCUAACUCUCCUGUCGGAAGAUAAAGCUCCGCCGCAGUCUCGAGUGUCUUGCAGACUGGAACAGGUCAUCUUUUAGCAUUACGCUGUAUUUGAACUUGAUGCUACCGCAUCCGUGCUUCGCCGUGUGGACGGUGCUCUGAGGGUGAUGAGCCAUUUCGAGUUAAUACCAGAGGUAGAACUUUGUGCCAGAGUCAAGCAGUUCAAUUCUGGUUUCAUCAGAUCAGAGAACCUUUUCACACGGGGUUGCUGUGGAAAAAUUUCACCUGCUCCAGACUUUCAUGGCCCUGAUUGUGUAUUUUAAUGAUUUAAAUGUUUGUUUAUUUUUAUAUCCAUUACCUGACAUAUGCAACUAUAUGACUGCAGUUUCUUCUAUAGUCAAAUGUCAUGUUUAUGUCAUGUUACCGAGAAACCGCAAAGUGUAGACAUGUCCUUUGAAAAACUCGUACGGCUUCUUUCUAUCUCUGUGGUUGUCCGUUUUUUACAAAAAAAUAUUUAAUUCCAUUCUGGCCGACGCCCUUAUCCAGAGCGACUUCCAUUUAUCUCGUUUAUACAUCUGAGCAGGUAAGGGUUAAGGGCCUUGCUCAAGGGCCCAGCAGUGGCAGCUUGUCCUGUGAACAUCUUCUCCCAUCUGAGCUGUGGAUCUCUCCAGCUCCUUCAGAGUUACCCAUGUCCUCUUGGUUGCUUCUCUGACUAAUCCCUUCUUUACCCAGUCACUGACAUUUGGUGGACAAACUCCUCUAGGCAGAGUCGAGGUUGUGCCAUAUGACCUUCUCUUUUUAAUAAUAGAUCUAACGUCACUCUGCUUGAUGUUCAAAGAUGAGGAACCAAACCCCGAUCGAUCCGUUUCAAGAACUUUGUCCCGGACGUGUUUGGAUUGCUCUUUGGUCUUCAGGAUGCUGUUUUGUUUCUUCUUUAACAGACUCUGGAUUCUUCCAGGAACAGGUGUGUUUAUAUCGAGAUCACAUGACACUUUAAUUGCACGUGGUUGACUCUAUUCAAGUCAUUACUGGAUUUCGGACUCAUUUGAAGGGUUUCACACCAACAGGAGUGAAUACUUAUGCAAUCGCAACGUGUAGCUCAUUUUGCAAGCUAUAUUGACACACCGGUGUUACGUAUAGAUUUGGAUGGAUUUGUGUUAUAAAAUCCUAAAUCAGUCCAUUUCAGUUCAAGGCUGUGACACUACAAAAUGUGAGAAAAUACAAGGGGGUGAAAACUUAUACAAGGCACUGUGGUGUAAGUCUAUGUAGGGCCCUGUUUGUUUGGAAGUGUGAAGAGGUGUAUCGACCUCAGUGACCCUUUCACAGUUUGAAUAAUCACAUCCUGCAGUGUUUGGAGGUUCGUUUUACUGUUUAUGAAGUCCUGGCUGGAGCCCACUCGCAUUUCAGACUCGUCUUUAUGCAUCAGAUUCCUCUCCCGCCAGAUUAACGUAACAGCUGUUGCCGUGGCAACGUGACGAAGAUUUACUGUAACCUGAGGUACAUUGAGUCUGAGGUAUGUGCAGAGGUACACUUCUGCUUUAUUGUAGUACUAAUCUGUGUUGUCGAGUCUGUAUAUACGGCGGACUGAAAGCACAAUCGGACCUUUGUAAAUAUUUAAAGAGAAUCUUGACACAGCGUGCGUCCGGGAGAUAUAUGUGUAUAUACAGUCAUAGGAUGAAGAAAGUUUGGUUUAUUUUCGGCGGGGGAGGGAAAGGUUACAUAUUGAAACCUGUUGUGGUGGUGUUGUUGUUUUUGUUGUGACCUGGGGUUAUUUAUUAGUUUAUGAGGAGAUAAAAACGUAGAAUUGAAGGAGGGUGUACUUUCUUUUGCCCAUGACUGUAUAUAGUAUAAAUCACACUCGGAUACGCCCACCCACCUCGUGCAAAAAUGUUAUGAAGAGGUUAUAAAAUGGUGCCAUUUUUUUUUUACAAAUCACACAAAGAAAACGUUGUGAACUGGUUGCUCCCCAUCUCGCAUUUCGUUAAAUCCUCUAACCUUCCUGGUAAGCUCGAGGCUCUUUUAAUAUCAACGGCUUCAUUUCUCCUCAAAACUAUUUAUUUAUUUUGCUCCAACCCGUCAGCCAUUUUGCGGAUUUAGCACGAGGCAAGGUGAGUUUGUUUGUUUUAAUGGCAGCCUAAACGGCAACGAGGGUGCCAAUACUUUGGUUUCGGGCAUUAAAAAACAGAAAUCAAAUAUAAUGUCACGUGCAAACGUCAGAUCUUGCUAACAGAUAACAACUAAUAUAUCAGCAUGAGUGCCCUAGCGAUACCUCAGAAGAAUGGUUCAGCAUUCUGGAGUAAACAAAGACUCCAAAUAUAUCAAAUAAGGCAUCGCGUUUACCUCCGUAGAUAGAGAGACAAUAAUAAAUUCAUUAAUGGAUAAAAAAAAACAUAUUGACCUUUUGAAGUUUUGCUAACUUGCUAACAUUAGCUGACUAUAUUUAAUGAAGCUAGCAUGUUUUCUUUGCUAAUGCCAGGUUAACAGCACUGUUUCCAGUGCCUAAGCAGCAAGUCAGAUUCUAGCUAAGGGUAAAUAUUGCAAACUUACAGAGAUGGAAUGAUAGGGCAUUCGGGCUUAGACUAGAAAUAUUUUAAAAAUCGCUUUUUCGCAUGAAAAACGUGACUAGCUUAAUUUCAGCAGUUCAAAAUGUUACUCUUUAAUACUUGAGUAGUCGCAACUUUUUAAUUAAUUACUUAAAUUGAAGUACAUUUUCAGCUGGAUACGUCUACUUUUAACUUCGCUUAAUCCUCCAUUCGAAAUUCCAUCCUUCCCUCUUCUACCGCUUAUCCUUUUCAGGGUCACAUGGAACCUGAAGUCUAUCCCAGGGAGCAUGGGGGUCGAGGCAGGGUACACCCUGGACGGGGUGCCAAUCCAUCGCAGGACACAAUCACACACCCAUUCAUACACUACGGACACUUUGGACACGCCAAUCAGCCUACCACGCAUGUGUUUGGACUGGGGGAGGAAACCAGAGUACCUGGAGGAAACCCCCGCAGCACGGGGAGAACAUGCAAACUCCCCACACACACACACACGCACACACACACACAGGGCCACGUGGGAAUCGAACCCCCGACCCUGGAGGUGUGAGGAGAACGCGUUAACCACUAAUCCACCGGGCCUGAAGUUAAUGAAAACAUCGUGUUACUGCCAUCUCGGAAAGACUAAUAAACAUGCGCGUAUGUGUCAUGCGCUUUUUUGUCCUGUUUUAAAGUUACUUCCAGUAUGUACAAUUACUGCUUUAUUCCCGUCUCUUAUGUUCCGUCACGUCUCCACGCCGCCGCAGAGCCAGAAAUGCACGAGCAGUGAUGGAAAUGCAAAUUCAACCGUCGCUACUCUGAUUGAUAUUCAGUACUGGCCAUCGUUUCCUGGACAGCUGCUGUGAUUAGACUGUCUCCUUCGUGACAGCAUCAGCAGUCAUAAAAGGAGAUGGAGUUCAACUUCCUGUGUGAGCUAAAGGUCUUGCUUAAGUAAAUAAAGAUGUGACGGAACCUUCGAUUUUUCACUCUUCGCUGCUUUCACUCGUAUCAGUGUUGUGAUGGAGCAGGCGGUUGGAGUGGCGCUGAAUUCAUUACAUUCGACAGCUACAGUCGGAUUCAGUACGUGUACGUGUACGUUUUUAAGAAUGCUAUGGGAAUUUAUAUCGCGGCGCUGUUGAAUUUGGUAUUCUGAUUGGUCAGAAGGAGAUGAUUAAUUCAUUUUUCUCUAAAGGGAUCUUGGACAGCAGUGCACUGGUUCUCAUAUAUAUCGUCGUUUCUAUAGUAACUGCUCGUUCACUGGGAAGUCUUCUGUAAGGAGGUGUUUAGUCAACCUUUACGGAAGGAGUCUCCAGUGUCAGCGUUUUGUAACGGUCAGAGGUAAAGCUGUAACCUUCCUUUACACUAACCAAAAUUAUUUUCCUAGUUCAAAAAUAUGUAUGGCAAUAUUAUUGGCACCCCUGGAGGAAAUUUCGAUAAACUUCUUAUAGAGUAUAAAACAUCAUAUACAAUAUAUAAUGAACGAUGAACAUUCCUAAGGCUUUAUGAACAUGACCUUUGGCCGUGUAAAAGGUUGCACGGGCAAAAUUUAUUUAUGACGUACUCCUCAGGCAGAAAACAAAAAGGUUUUUCACAAGAACACAAAAGAGACGUAAGUCAGAUAAAGGAUAUAAAAAAUACACAAGCGCUUAAAAACACAACCAGUUGUACAUGUGGAAGGAAUUGGACAAACAAUUAGGAAGAGAUUCUCAUGUUCGUUCCGAGAAGGUUUUUAUCAAAUAAUAAUAAUAAUAAUAAUAAUAAUAAUAAUAAUAACCAUUGUGUUUGUAUUUCCAGAACAAAAUGCAUUACUUGUAAUUCUGCCAAUAAUUCUGAACUAGUGUAAGCAGUUACUGAUGCAAUUGCACUAUCUGUAUCUGUAAUCAGAUUUAAGCCUGAACUGGGUUUGAUCUAUACUGGAAUGUAUGUUUCUUUCUUUCCUUUUUUCUUCCUUUCUGCCUUUCUUUCUUUACCGAUAUUCAUCUCUUCUUUCAUUUUCUCUUUUCAGGCAGGAUGAGUGAAUGAGCACUGUAAAUGCAUCACGCAGCGCUGCACAAUAACGAACGGGGUCUCUGGAUGUCCUUCAAGCUUAUAUUUCAGGCUUGUACAUAUAUAUA